GUCCGCAGGCCGAUGCUCUAUCCACUGAGCCAAACCGGUCAGGGCAAAAUACACAAAGAAGAAUCCUGUACUGGGACAAAGCCUGAGCAGCUCUGUGACUGUUUGUAACAAGUGGUGGACUUAAAUAAAAAGGCUCAAGAGACAAAAGCAGAACCUGGAUCUCUUCUACAAGAAUACAUCACCAGCAUGAACAACUGCUGCCCAGAGGAAAUAGCGAUCACAUUUGGCUUCCGACAGGACAGUCUGAGAGAGACCAGGGUCUGGUACUCCAACA
Long non-coding RNA from Myotis brandtii (Brandt's bat), 274 nucleotides. RefSeq lists it as uncharacterized. The record is from RefSeq and is a predicted model, not a curated record. The transcript is spliced from 3 exons. Lineage: Eukaryota; Metazoa; Chordata; Mammalia; Chiroptera; Vespertilionidae.